This 461-nucleotide ribosomal RNA is filed under the name uncultured beta proteobacterium. RNAcentral describes it as "bacterial SSU rRNA". It matches the Rfam family "Bacterial small subunit ribosomal RNA", at positions 200 to 642 of the family's 1533-position model. Lineage: Bacteria; Pseudomonadati; Pseudomonadota; Betaproteobacteria. The record is from RNAcentral.
AGGAAAGCAGGGGAUCGCAAGACCUUGCGCUUUUGGAGCGGCCGAUGUCUGAUUAGCUAGUUGGUGAGGUAAAGGCUUACCAAGGCUUCGAUCAGUAGCUGGUCUGAGAGGACGACCAGCCACACUGGGACUGAGACACGGCCCAGACUCCUACGGGAGGCAGCAGUGGGGAAUUUUGGACAAUGGGGGAAACCCUGAUCCAGCCAUGCCGCGUGAGUGAAGAAGGCCUUCGGGUUGUAAAGCUCUUUCAGCCGGAACGAAACGGUCACGGUUAAUACCCGUGAUCACUGACGGUACCGGAAGAAGAAGCACCGGCUAACUACGUGCCAGCAGCCGCGGUAAUACGUAGGGUGCGAGCGUUAAUCGGAAUUACUGGGCGUAAAGCGUGCGCAGGCGGUUUUGUAAGUCAGAUGUGAAAUCCCCGGGCUCAACCUGGGAACUGCGUUUGAAACUACAAGGCU